GUGGGGAACCAGACUUUAUCUCCCCCUAGCCACCCCACUGUUGGGCUAACUCCGGUGGCUGAACUUGAGCUCUCAUCCAGCUCAGGGUCCCUGUUGGUAACUGAGCCUAAUAUGACCACAUCUGGGAGCCUGCUGACCAGAUCCCCCACCCAGGCCCCUUUCUCCCCAUUCAAUCCCACUUCCCUCAUUAAGAUGGAGCCCCAUGACAUAUAAACAAAGGGAUCAAAAGUAUGACCCUCCGGGGCAAAAUUGUGAAACAUUUUCGUGUGGACUUAAGUAGAGUACCCGCCCUUACAUCUAGUGCGGUGAGAGAAAAUUUGAUUCCAAGUUCCCUAGACCUAUCUGGCGUCGUUAUGACCAAAGUACGCCCAGCUCAAGCAUCGCUGGCAUCAGACAUGGCCUUCAAGAGCACUAGGGAGUGGAUAGGCUCUUGAAAGGAUAAUGAGAUGACUUGGUGAUGGAGGGACAUCCACAAGCCAGGAAGCCGCUUGUGGUCAGAGCUGGUCAGCUUCCCAAGAAGAGUUAAGUCUGGUCAUACUUCGCUAUCUAUAUUCCUUACACAGGGAACUUACCAUCCGAUAUGUGAAUAUCUUCUUCGUAUGCAUUUGUGUGCACUUGUGGUUCUGUAUCUUCAUUUCUUUGGGGAGGAUGGGAUUUAGAUGUCAGGUCUUUUCUUCGUGU
Molecule: long non-coding RNA, 681 nt
Filed under: Rattus norvegicus (Norway rat)
Lineage: Eukaryota; Metazoa; Chordata; Mammalia; Rodentia; Muridae
Description: long non-coding RNA NONRATT031300
Source: RNAcentral